UACUGGGUUUUGGUUGAGGUUCUUGACCUGAUUAUUGUUGAGCUAGUCUGAGGUUGGUUGCUUUGGACGUCAGCGAACCACACCUCAAUUUACUCAUUAUCAUCUAUGUCAAACAAAUCUUGGUUGUAUGUUAUUUUCCAACACCUAUGCUUUACGUUGGCUUGACAUUCUGUACAAAAAGUAGAGAGUUUUGGGGUUGCUCGAGAAAAAUGAGAAAAACAAAUGAAACAACAUGGUUUUGUUAAACUACUUUUAUACCUUUUUGAAUGAGUUUUGGAAUUCUUUUAUAUGCAGAGAAUGGCAUCUACUUAGCUUACUCCAACUUUCAUCCAUACUUGAUUGUGGAUGCGUCUCGUAUGAAGGAGCUGAAUCAUUGGGUCCUUGUUGACUAGUUGCUGAGGAGGGCAGAGCUAAAUGUUCAUGGGUGAGUCUUGAUGACAUCUCAAAUAUCGAAGUACGAGCAGAUUUAGAGACGUCACGUCAUCAAUGUAUAUAUGAAUUGCAACGGCUUCGCUCUUUGUAUGUAAUUUUACUUAUGCAGCUUUUUGAAGUUUUUGGUUCUUUGCAUCGUAAGUGUUUGGUUUCAAUGUUAUGGAAUUUUGAAGGACAUUAUAAUCUAGUUGAAGAUGGCUUUUUCAAGUUUUAGUUUGGAAAGAGAUGUGUAGGUGGUAUUAAUCUGCAGAAGAAAAAAAUAUUGGCCAAGGUCAAUGGUAACUAUGAUCUGGUUCUCUAAAGAGGUUUUGUUUGGUAUGUGCUGUGAGAUGUGACAAUCUUCUGUCAUCAACCCAACUUUUUUUUUUCCAUUAUUUUUUUUCCCUUUUAAUAUUUAUCCUACUUCUGCCCUCUCUUUCUGCAGUUUAUCUUCUAUAAAGAAAAAAAUGAAUAUGAUGAAUUUGAUAAGUCCUUUUAUGACAGUCUCUAAUAUUCUAUUCGUCACAUUUUGAUUAUUGUGGAUGUUUUUGCUGUGGGGUGAUAUAAUUUGAAUAUCUUGUUCUGUUGUGAUUUUUCUGUUAUUAAUUAAAUUGUGAGAGACCUCCGCCUCCUCUCUCUGUCUCAUGAGUCAUUGUUAUACACAUGACAAUCAGAUGUGUUAGAUUGAUCCUACUUCUGAAACAUUGUCACGAGAACAUCUAAUAUGCAAGUUCUUCAGCAUAUUAUGCAAUCAGGUUCAAUAAUUUUUUUUGUUAGAAGUUGUUUGUUAAACAAG
This is a non-coding RNA of Camellia sinensis, 1207 nucleotides long. Lineage: Eukaryota; Viridiplantae; Streptophyta; Magnoliopsida; Ericales; Theaceae. The record is from RefSeq and is a predicted model, not a curated record.